ACUCAAAUGAAUUGACGGGGACCCGCACAAGCAGCGGAGCAUGUGGUUUAAUUCGAAGCAACGCGAAGAACCUUACCAGGGCUUGACAUCCCUCUGACCGGCCGGUAACGCGGCCUUCCCUUCGGGGCGGAGGAGACAGGUGGUGCAUGGUUGUCGUCAGCUCGUGUCGUGAGAUGUUGGGUUAAGUCCCGCAACGAGCGCAACCCUUGUCAUUAGUUGCCAUCAGGUUAAGCUGGGCACUCUAGUGAGACUGCCGGGGAUAACUCGGAGGAAGGUGGGGAUGACGUCAAAUCAUCAUGCCCCUUAUGUUCUGGGCUACACACGUGCUACAAUGGCCGGUACAAAGAGAAGCGAACUCGCGAGGGUGAGCAAAACUCAAAAACCGGUCCCAGUUCGGAUUGCAGGCUGAAACCCGCCUGCAUGAAGCAGGAGUUGCUAGUAAUCGCAAAUCAGAAUGUUGCGGUGAAUGCGUUCCCGGGUCUUGUACACACCGCCCGU
This 498-nucleotide ribosomal RNA is filed under the name uncultured bacterium. RNAcentral describes it as "bacterial SSU rRNA". It matches the Rfam family "Bacterial small subunit ribosomal RNA", at positions 899 to 1397 of the family's 1533-position model. The record is from RNAcentral.